GACGAACGCUGGCGGCGCGCUUAACACAUGCAAGUCGAACGGAAAGGCCUGCUUUCCCUUGUGGAUUGCGGGUACUCGAGUGGCGAACGGGUGAGUAACACGUGAGUGAUCUGCCCCCAACUUGGGUAUAAGCCUGGGAAACUGGGUCUAAUUCCCGAUAGGACUGCAGGGUGGUGCCUGUGGUGGAAAACGAUUUUCUAGUGGUUGGGGAUGAGCUCGCGGCCUAUCAGCUUGUUGGUGGGGUAAUGGCCUACCAAGGCGGCGACGGGUAGCCGGCCUGAGAGGGUGGACGGCCACAUUGGGACUGAGAUACGGCCCAGACUCCUACGGGAGGCAGCAGUGGGGAAUAUUGAACAAUGGGCGGAAGCCUGAUGCAGCGACGCCGCGUGGGGGAUGACGGCCUUCGGGUUGUAAACUCCUUUCGACCGCGAGGAAGCCACCUGGUUGGAAGGGUGGUGACGGUAGUGGUAGAAGAAGCACCGGCUAACUACGUG
This 494-nucleotide ribosomal RNA is filed under the name uncultured bacterium. RNAcentral's name for it is "partial 16S ribosomal RNA". It matches the Rfam family "Bacterial small subunit ribosomal RNA", at positions 28 to 507 of the family's 1533-position model. The record is from RNAcentral.